UCGAGAUAUUCAUUGUCAAAUAUCAAUGCUGAUCAACGGGAAACAAAAAAAGAGGUUGCAUGCAGUCCUUCGCACGUAAGAAGUGAAACUUCAUGAUGGAAAAUUUUAGACAUGAAAGUGUUGAAAUUAAUGUUAUUAUAACGCAACAUUUUUGGGAAAUACAAUUUUUAUAUUGUUUUCGACAACAAUUGUUUCAAUUUAAUUCUCAUUUUCAGCGGGCGCUGUAUUCAUAUUAAUAAUAUAUAUACAAUGGUCCCCCCUUAUGUCGUUGGAUUAUUCCUACUAUUCUUCUAUUUCUAAAGAAGAUUUAUCUUUGAUGAAUUGGAGUAAUGGCGCAGCUUCUGGCACUGAAAAAUUUCCAUCAAAAUCACUCGGAAAAAUUACCGGCUGUUCUCAAUACUCUACGCGUUCUCCAAUAACAUCGUCCAGAGCUUAUGAACUUAAAUUCGAUAAUUUCAAUAAAGAUUUUCCGAUGAAUAUUUUGAUAUCCCUCAUUGAAGCAUUUGGAGAUAAAUAAAGAGCUAUUAGAAUUCAUUUCUUACUAUUGUUAUCUACUGCACAUAAAUCCCCAAUUCUUGCGGAUGUUGAUACCGUGACAUCAGUCUCACUUGAAUGGCAACACCUGAUUUUCGAAUUUUAUUACGUUGAAAUCCCACAACAAACUAAAAAUUUGGUACUAAACAGAAGGUUCUUCAUCGCUCGUAAACGUUUCUGAACUUUGAAAGUUAUAUAAUAUUAUCGAAAUGUGUUUUUUCGAGUUUAUAAAGUCGAAUACUAAUGCCCAAAUUGGAUUUCUUAAAA
Molecule: long non-coding RNA, 801 nt
Organism: Bactrocera oleae (olive fruit fly)
Lineage: Eukaryota; Metazoa; Arthropoda; Insecta; Diptera; Tephritidae
Source: RefSeq, a predicted model, not a curated record